AACCAUUCUCACCUGCGGCUAGACCUGCGGAGGGAUCAUUACCGAGUUAGGGUAGUCACGCUGCCCGACCUCCCAACCCUGUGUCUACCAUACCUUGUCGUUGCUUCGGCGGACCGGUUGACCAACUGGUCAUGACCGCCGGGGGCUGGCUCUGUCCCCCCUGGAGAGCGUCCGCCGAUGGCCCAACCACAAAACUCUUGUACCGAAACGUGUCGUCUGAAUUAUGUUUGAGAAAUCAAA
This 240-nucleotide unclassified non-coding RNA is filed under the name soil metagenome. Its description in RNAcentral is "partial contains 5.8S ribosomal RNA, internal transcribed spacer 2, and large subunit ribosomal RNA". The record is from RNAcentral.